UACGUAGGUGGCAAGCGUUGUCCGGAUUUACUGGGUGUAAAGGGCGUGUAGGCGGAGCAGCAAGUCAGAAGUGAAAUCUCUGGGCUCAACCCAGAAACUGCUUUUGAAACUGUUGCCCUUGAGUAUCGGAGAGGCAGGCGGAAUUCCUAGUGUAGCGGUGAAAUGCGUAGAUAUUAGGAGGAACACCAGUGGCGAAGGCGGCCUGCUGGACGACAACUGACGCUGAGGCGCGAAAGCGUGGGGAGCAAACAGG
This 253-nucleotide ribosomal RNA is filed under the name Sporobacter termitidis. Its description in RNAcentral is "partial 16S ribosomal RNA". It matches the Rfam family "Bacterial small subunit ribosomal RNA", at positions 524 to 776 of the family's 1533-position model. Lineage: Bacteria; Bacillati; Bacillota; Clostridia; Eubacteriales; Oscillospiraceae. The record is from RNAcentral. RNAcentral also lists the same sequence under 1 other name.